UGGGGAAUUGUUCGCAAUGGGCGCAAGCCUGACGACGCAACGCCGCGUGGAGGAUGAAGAUCUUCGGGUCGUAAACUCCUUUCGAUCGAGACGAAUGGCCUCUGGGUGAACAGCCCGGAGGAGUGACGGUACCGAGAGAAGAAGCUCCGGCUAACUCCGUGCCAGCAGCCGCGGUAAUACGGGGGGGGCAAGCGUUGUUCGGAAUUACUGGGCGUAAAGGGCUCGUAGGUGGUCAACUAAGUCGGACGUGAAAUCCCUCGGCUUAACCGGGGAACUGCGUCCGAUACUGGAUGACUUGAGUUCGGGAGAGGGAUGCGGAAUUCCAGGUGUAGCGGUGAAAUGCGUAGAUAUCUGGAGGAACACCGGUGGCGAAGGCGGCAUCCUGGACCGACACUGACGCUGAGGAGCGAAAGCCAGGGGAGCAAACGG
This 429-nucleotide ribosomal RNA is filed under the name uncultured bacterium. RNAcentral describes it as "bacterial SSU rRNA". It matches the Rfam family "Bacterial small subunit ribosomal RNA", at positions 355 to 775 of the family's 1533-position model. The record is from RNAcentral.